AUACGGAGGAUGCGAGCGUUAUCCGGAUUUAUUGGGUUUAAAGGGAGCGUAGGUGGGAUAUUAAGUCAGCUGUGAAAGUUUGGGGCUCAACCUUAAAAUUGCAGUUGAUACUGGUUUCCUUGAGUACGGUACAGGUGGGCGGAAUUCGUGGUGUAGCGGUGAAAUGCUUAGAUAUCACGAAGAACUCCGAUCGCGAAGGCAGCUCACCGGGCCGGAACUGACACUGAUGCUCGAAAGUGCGGGUAUCAAACAGGAUUAGAUACCCUGGUAGUCCGCACAGUAAACGAUAAAUACUCGCUGUUUGCGAUACACGGUAAGCGGCCAAGCGAAAGCGUUAAGUAUUCCACCUGGGGAGUACGCCGGCAACGGUGAAACUCAAAUGAAUUGACGGGG
This 393-nucleotide ribosomal RNA is filed under the name uncultured bacterium. RNAcentral describes it as "partial 16S ribosomal RNA". It matches the Rfam family "Bacterial small subunit ribosomal RNA", at positions 523 to 918 of the family's 1533-position model. The record is from RNAcentral.